UCUGGGGGUGGGGGCAGGACCCUGGCGGGAGAUGGCUAAGCUCCGCCCCAGGUCAGAGUGGCGCGCGCAACAGGCCGAGCUGUAACCCAACACGGGGUCUUUGUCGUCCUCAGGCGCAAGGAGGAACCCUGAGCCCGGGGAGCCAGCGGAGGCUCCGGGCGGCGCUCACAGCACCAACCAACCGGACCCGGUGGGGAGGUGACCGGAGGGUCAUCAAGGCUCCUUCUGUGGAAGCCACUGGUACCGAGCAUAGCCUGCCUCAUGGAGUGACCUGGGCAAAUGCUCGCUGGGACCAAGGUCGAGACUGCUUUUGGGCAGAAAAGCAAAACCGGUGAGGGACACACCAGCAACAACGUGACGAGGAACUGUGCGAGUGAGGGGAUGAAAAGCGCAGCCCAGAAAUGUGUGCGACAUGGUGUUAAUACCAGAGAAAGCAGAAUUCAAGGUAAAGAAUGAAAUGGAUAAGGGAGUGCACCUUACAUGGAUGAGACAUGCACAUGCAUGGGGAUGUGGGAAUUAAGUCUGGGGCAUGAGAAGAGAGCACGGCCACAUCUAGCCACAGGGGACCUGGACUCUGGGACAAAUGCCAUAGAUCACAUAGAAAAUGCAAAAUGAGGGUGUAAAAGACAAAUACUGCUAUUGGUGAUUUUAUUUUAUUUUUCAUAUAAAAUUCACUGUGCAUAGAGAGAAUAAACGUUUUUUCCAAAAUCCCAUGAAAUUUUAAAGGAUCCCAAACCAGCUACAAAUCAAAGCUUAAAACAAUUUCAAAAACUGAAAAAUCACUUAGGCCUGAACUGAACUUUAUAAAACAAAAUAUUAAUGAAACAAAAGAUGUAAUAAAACCUAACUAGUUGAAAUUUUUCAA
Molecule: non-coding RNA, 865 nt
Organism: Miniopterus natalensis
Lineage: Eukaryota; Metazoa; Chordata; Mammalia; Chiroptera; Miniopteridae
Source: RefSeq, a predicted model, not a curated record